Molecule: long non-coding RNA, 554 nt
Organism: Orbicella faveolata
Lineage: Eukaryota; Metazoa; Cnidaria; Anthozoa; Scleractinia; Merulinidae
Source: RefSeq, a predicted model, not a curated record
AAAGCCUAAAUUACACACAACACACGCAUCUGUCAUCACUUUGCUGAUACGACAAAUUCGAGUCAUGUCAAGGAUGAGAAGUGUCCACUUCUAACCACACAGAACUAAAAGGAAAAAGAAGACAGUUGAGUUUCCUCUCGCCGCCAAUGCACCAGGUUGGGAGCCAACAAGAGAAUGGAGGGAUAGUAAAGCUUUCAGAGGGAUCAAGCCAAAACUUGGCAGGUAUAUUUUGAAAGUUGCAGGUUGCAGAUUGAAACAACCUGUUUAUUCAAGUUGAAAUCCAAUAAAACCUGAAUAUAAAGCCUAACCACAAGCAACCUAUGCUGGUUUAGGCCAACCAAGAGUGCUAUUAUAUUCUGGACAGUGUAAAAUGCAGACUGCAGACUGCAGAGCGGGGGUAAAAUGCACAUGCAGAUAGCAGACCGGGGGUAAAAUGCAGACUGCAGACCACAGACCGGGGGUAAAGUGCACAUGCAGUCCACAGACCGGGGGUAAAAUGCACAUGCAGAUAGCAGACCAGGGGUAAAAUGCAGACUGCAGGCCACAGACUGGGG